CUUCCCGCCGGUGGCCUGGAACGGAUAGGCCGUGUGUGCCUCUUCCAGAGAGGCCACGCCUGUCUCGGUGAGGCUGACUGUUUUUAGAGACCACAGUCCCCUCACCGGGAGUUGCUUCUGUUUCCUGUAUUUGAAAAAUAGAAGAAGUGCACAUAUCCAGUCAAGGAUAUUAAGUAAGAAUGAACUGGAGAAACUACAAAAUCGAACACACAAGUAUAAUCGAAAUACUCCACUCAGUGUCCUUAAGGAACUAACAAAGAAUACAGCUGCUAUCCACUUGCCUACUUCAUGUUUUACAUACGUAAUUAAGGAGUUGGGACUCUGAGCAGGUGAACUGGCUGGACAGAAAGCUGGGGUAAGCUUUGGAGCAAUGUGCUGUCUUGCUUCAUCCCGAUUCACAUGUUUGUCUCCAUAUGAGUCCCCGUAUGUUCAGAAAUAAAACCCAUCCUAAAGGACAAGGAUUUUUUCAGUGAGCAAAUUCAACAGAUUUUCAAAUACGCUUGGAAGUAAUCCAGAAAAGGAACUGCAUUUGAACAUACUGCAUUUGAGAAGAAUGCUUUGAAUAAAGGCUGCAUUAUUAAAGUCCACUGAGGGGGGCGCCUGGGUGGCUCAGUCAUUAAGCGCCUGCCUUCGGCUCAGGUCAUGAUCCCAGGGUCCUGGAUCGAGCCCCGCAUCGAGCCCUGCAUGGGGCUCCCCGCUCCG
Molecule: long non-coding RNA, 702 nt
Organism: Zalophus californianus (California sea lion)
Lineage: Eukaryota; Metazoa; Chordata; Mammalia; Carnivora; Otariidae
Exons: 4
Source: RefSeq, a predicted model, not a curated record